Molecule: ribosomal RNA, 484 nt
Filed under: uncultured bacterium
Lineage: Bacteria
Description: partial 16S ribosomal RNA
Rfam family: Bacterial small subunit ribosomal RNA
Source: RNAcentral
AUUGAACGCUGGCGGCAGGCCUAACACAUGCAAGUCGAGCGGAUGAAGGGAGCUUGCUCCUGGAUUCAGCGGCGGACGGGUGAGUAAUGCCUAGGAAUCUGCCUGGUAGUGGGGGAUAACGUCCGGAAACGGGCGCUAAUACCGCAUACGUCCUGAGGGAGAAAGUGGGGGAUCUUCGGACCUCACGCUAUCAGAUGAGCCUAGGUCGGAUUAGCUAGUUGGUGGGGUAAAGGCCUACCAAGGCGACGAUCCGUAACUGGUCUGAGAGGAUGAUCAGUCACACUGGAACUGAGACACGGUCCAGACUCCUACGGGAGGCAGCAGUGGGGAAUAUUGGACAUUGGGCGAAAGCCUGAUCCAGCCAUGCCGCGUGUGUGAAGAAGGUCUUCGGAUUGUAAAGCACUUUAAGUUGGGAGGAAGGGCAGUAAGUUAAUACCUUGCUGUUUUGACGUUACCAACAGAAUAAGCACCGGCGAACUUCGUG